AUCAAGAAGAAAUAAUUACUUCUGUUUAAUGAACAGCGAAUCUAUUGUUGAUUUCAUUUUACAGAAGAAGGAACUGAAGCCCAGAAAGGUUAGAUCAAUUUCCUAAGGUCACAUAGCUCAUAAGGGGAGAACCUGGGUUCAGAAGCAGAUCCUCCUGACCCCACAUGCUGUGCUCUUUACUGGAUACCAUGGUGGUCUCCAGGAAGCCCCUCUCAGGGUGGCCUACGUGUUUCUUUGUUUUACAGACAUACUGACCAUAUUUCAGCUUCUACACCUUGGAAACACAGUUUUCCCUCCAAGAACGAUGUCCUCUCUGCUGUCCUGGCUUUUUCAACCAUGGAGUGUCAUUGUCACCUUCCUUCUUCCCCAGCAGCUCCUCUUAACACCCCAACAGGCCUCUGUCCUCCCUGGUACCCAGGUAGACGGGGUUUCUCUUUGUCACUGAGGCUGGAGUGUAGUAGUGUGAUCAUAAUUCACUGUAGCCUCGACCUCCUAGGCUCAAGUGAUCCUCCCAUCUCAGCCUCCUGGAUGAACAGUCAUGGAGCCAGCAAAAGGCAGCGUCAAGAUUUGAACCCAUGACGCCUGAAUUCAGACUCUGUAACAGAAAAAAAAAAGUUGGCAAAGAAAGGGUUCUGCUAUGAAAGAUACAAAACCACAAGCCAAAAACAAAACAAAACAAAAAAACAAAAACAAGACGAAAUCAAUAGCUUACCUAUGGGAACAUUCAAACUAUUGAGUAUGACAAAAACAUCAAAAAUAAAGUUAAGAGACUGGGAGAAAAUAUUUUCAAUAUGCAGUCAUCCCUUGGUAUCCUUGAGGGACUUGUUCCAGGACCUCCCAAGGAUACCAAAAUCCAUGGAUGCUAAAGUCCCUGAUAUAAAAUGGGGCAGUAUUUGCAUAUAACCUAUGUACAUCCUCCAGUAUACUUUAAAUCAUCUCUAGAUUACUUCUAAUACCUAAUACAAUGUAAAUGGUAUGUAAAUAGCUAUUAGACUGCAUUGUUUAGGGAAUAAUGACAAGGGAGAAAAAGGCUGUGCACGUUCAGUACAAAUGCAUUAUCUUCUGAAAUGUUUUUGAUCUGAAGUCAGUUGAAUUCAUGGAUGUGGAACCCAUGAAUAUGGAAGGCUGACUGUAUCUGACAGACAAAGGAAAUAGCUACUAUAAAUCAAACAAGAGAAAUCAAAUAACCUAAGAAACAAUGACGGAGGGCAUACUUAGAUAAUAAAGAGAAUACAAGUACCGUGGGCAAAAAACAUAUGAAGUGAUGUUGAGCCUCACUAAUAAUCAGGGAAAUCCAAAUCCAAAUGACAUGUCACUUUUGCUUUUUAAUUUGGCAAAGAGUAACAGGGUUGAUCGUGCUCAGUUUUAGAAGGGGUGCUCUCCCACACUUUAGUAGGAAUAUAACUUGGUAAAGGCUUUUUUGGUACUUGAUUUCACAAUGUGAAUAAAAGUAAAAAAUGCACAUUCCCUUCAAUCCAGCAAUUCCCCCACCCCCACAUACACACUAGAUUUCUAUAUCAGUCAGGGCUUAUGGUUGCAAAACCAGAAGUGGGUUCUGGCUAACUUAAGCAGAAAAUAAAUGUACUGGAAAAAUAUCUGGUAGUUGACAGGGUGGAUGAAAAGGCUUGGAACCUUGGUUCCACAAUCUUGCAGGAGCCAGUGGAAACCGGGGUGCUGAAGACCCAGCAAAGCUUAUGCCUCAGGAGCGGUCAGAUUUUUUGUGACCACUGACUCCGUCACCACUGGGACUGUGGCCACCACCACUUCCUCUCUACUCUGUCAUCACUACUGCUGCCACCAGUCAUUUGUGUCUUUGAAACUUUGUCUGCAAAUUCACAACGCAAGUUGAGUUCUCAUUGGCCAAACCCUGGCAGCACAUUCUGACUGCAGGACCAAGGGCAGACUGAGGGGACAGAGGCUUCUUUUGGCUUUUAAAGUGGAUGUGAGGGGCCUGCCACCCAGGUAGACUUCUGACUUACACCCCAAAUUGGAAGGGUAUUUGUAUAAAGAGUAGCCAAAGCCAGUACACACCUAUAAAUGGAUCCACUAUUGUGGCUACCCAAGAUUUAUAUACAUUCUUCUCAUAUUUUCACUAACCCUCUCCCUGUCAAAAAAUAUCCUGUUACCAUUAUGAAACUAUCCACGUACAAAGUGAAGGACUCGCCCUCUCUCUAAAGGGAGACAGCCCAGGGUCUUAUCAAUGACCACACCCAGACCUUGAGUCCUGUGCAUCCCAUCUCUAACUCUCGCAAUUCCAUUUCUAUAUUCUGUAAACUGUAAUGAUGUGCUGAAGCCGGCUCAUACCAGAAAUUCUGUGAACUGGCUAUUAAACACAGCAAUUGUUAACAAUCAAAUUAUAUAUGCUUACAAUGAAAUAAAUUAUAUUAAAAGCAAAAGUAGUAAAUACUAAAAGCUCAUCACUAAUUAUUUUACUACAUUUUACCAUUCUCUAUGCUCUUGAGGUUAUUAAUAUAUAUUGGAUCUAUAUGGUGGAAAUUCUGUAUUAUGAUUUCUUCUGAAUACUUCAUCUCAACUCUGUGUUUAGUGAUGUCAUGUUAAUGGCAGGAAAUUGGCCACAGUGGGAGUAUUUUUGGAAAAAUGGGCAAAAACACUACAAAUCAAGGCUUGUUUGUUUCUUUUUCAGGAUGAUUGUCAGACUUAAGAAAAUGAUGGAGAAAAUGUUAGUAAUGGCGAUUAAACUUAAAAAUGCAUUAUGUCGGCCGGGAGCAGUGGCUUAUGCCUGUAAUCCCAGCACUUUGGGAGGCUGAGGCGGGCAGAUCACCUGAGGUCAGGAGUUUGAGACCAGCCUGGCCAACAUAGUGAAAUCCCAUCUCUACUAAAAGUACAAAAAAUUAGCUGGAUAUGGUGGCAGGUGGCUGUAAUCCCAGCUACUUGGGAGGCUGAGGCAGGAGAAUCACUUGAACCCGGCAGGCAGAGAUCACGCCACUGCACUCCAGCCCUGGCAACAGUGCAAGACUCCAUCUCAAAAAAAAAAAAAA
Pan troglodytes (chimpanzee) is the source of this 2999-nucleotide long non-coding RNA. RefSeq lists it as uncharacterized. The record is from RefSeq and is a predicted model, not a curated record. The transcript has 3 exons. NCBI's taxonomy places the organism in Eukaryota, Metazoa, Chordata, Mammalia, Primates, Hominidae.